UGCCAGCAGCCGCGGUAAUACGGAGGGGGCAAGCGUUGUUCGGAAUUACUGGGCGUAAAGGGUGCGCAGGCGGCGUCGCCAGUCAGGUGUGAAAUCCCCGGGCUCAACCCGGGAACUGCACUUGAUACUGCGAUGCUAGAGUUCGGAAGAGGGUAGUGGAAUUCCCAGUGUAGAGGUGAAAUUCGUAGAUAUCAGGAGGAACACCGAUGGCGAAGGCAGCUUUCUGGACAGAUACUGACGCUGAGGCGCGAAGGCGUGGGUAGCGAACGGGAUUAGAUA
Molecule: ribosomal RNA, 279 nt
Filed under: uncultured bacterium
Lineage: Bacteria
Description: partial 16S ribosomal RNA
Rfam family: Bacterial small subunit ribosomal RNA
Source: RNAcentral